RNAcentral lists this ribosomal RNA (330 nucleotides) under Teyl sp. MYG454. RNAcentral's name for it is "partial 12S ribosomal RNA". Lineage: Eukaryota; Metazoa; Arthropoda; Arachnida; Araneae; Anamidae. The record is from RNAcentral.
UCUAGAAGUAAAAAGGUAAUAUCUCUGGAGAAACUUUUACCCGUUGACGGCCUCUUUUCUAAUCAAAGGAACUUGUUAAGGCAUCGAAACUACCCGAUUAUUUUUACUUCUUUCCAAAGUUUUUAUACCGUCGUCUUAAGGGGAAGCUUCACAGCAUUCCCCAAAAUUAACAAAUUAAAUAAGUCAGAUCAAGGUGAAGCCUAUAAAGAAGCACUUUAUGAGUUAUUCAUAAAAAAGAUUUAGGGAAAUUGAUGUAAACCCGUAAAAUGAAUUAAGAUUUGAAAGUACACCAUUAUUAAAAUUGUUAGUGGAAUUUGAAAAAAAAGGUGU